RNAcentral lists this ribosomal RNA (253 nucleotides) under uncultured bacterium. RNAcentral describes it as "partial 16S ribosomal RNA". It matches the Rfam family "Bacterial small subunit ribosomal RNA", at positions 524 to 776 of the family's 1533-position model. The record is from RNAcentral.
UACGUGGGGUGCAAGCGUUGUCCGGAAUUAUUGGGCGUAAAGAGCUCGUAGGCGGUUAGUCGCGUCUGCUGUGAAAACUCGGGGCUUAACUCCGGGCCUGCAGUGGGUACAGGCUGACUAGAGUGCGGUAGGGGAGACUGGAAUUCCUGGUGUAGCGGUGAAAUGCGCAGAUAUCAGGAGGAACACCGGUGGCGAAGGCGGGUCUCUGGGCCGUAACUGACGCUGAGGAGCGAAAGCGUGGGGAGCGAACAGG